AUGCUGCUGCGCCCAGGCUCUCUGCGUCCCCCCCGCGCCGCGCUCCGCCGCGAACCCCGAACGUGCGGAGGGAAGAAGGAGGGCGGGCGAGGGAGGCUCGCGGAGGGAGGAGCGCAGGGGGGAGGAGGAGGCAGAGAAGGAGGAGGAGGAGGAGGAGGAGGAGGAAGAGGAGGACCGCGCUGCCGGCGGAAUGGGAAGUUUGACAAAUCGCUCCAGAGGCCGGAGGAGGAGGGGGCGGGGAGGAGAGGCGGCCCUGCCCACCCCCCCCCCGCCCCCCCCCCCCGCGCCCCGUCCCCUGACGAGGAGCUGAGAGAACAGGCAAGCCGUCCUCGGAAACCCGUUUGGAUGAUGGCGGGCAGAACUGCAGCUCUGCAGAGAGAGACGCCAGCCAGCGUGCAGAAGUGGAAGACAGAAUCUUGCUCUAUCACUCAGCUGGAAUGCAGCGGCACCAUUCCAGCUUACUGCAGCCUCAAACUCCUGGCUCAAGGGAUCCUUCAGCCUCAGCCUCCUGAUUAGCUAGGACUACAGGAACUGACUCAGUGCAGGAAGACAGCUCCGACUCCCUAUGAUUUCAUCACUGACCUGACCAAUCAGCACUCCUGGCUCACUGGCCUCCCCCAUCCAUCAGGUUGUCCUUCCCUGCUUCCCAAAUGUUGGGGAGACUGAUUUGAGUAACAGUAAAACUCCAAAGAAAAAAGCCUGAAAGACAAAAGCAAAGCAAAACAAACAAACCAACAAAAUCCCUCCAGUCUCCCGCACAGCUGGCUCUAUGUCAAUUACUCUUUCUCUUCUGCAAUCCCCCUGUCUUGAUAAAUCGGCUCUGUCUAGGCGGCAGGCAAGGUGAAACCUUUGGGCGGUUGCCCUUCUGAUGGGAGAUAUCAGAAUAAUCAAUGAGAAGUUUGAAUUCAAAGACAUAUUGUAAGACACUUAUUAAGUCCGAUUGUGAAGAGACCUAUUUCAAACAGAAGGUAAAGUCAAAUCUCUCAUCUGGAAUUUGGAAUUUUCCUACCCUUAACAAAUGAAUAUUUCAACUAGGGAUAAGAUUUUUCAUAAGGGUAUAUGAAAGGUAUAUUUGCCAUUUGAGAUUAGAUGUAAGAAGAAUAAACUGAAAUUACAUUAUUGAUAAAGUUACUGCAAGAUCUUUUAACAUGAAUUGAGUCAUAAAGAAAAGUUUGCAAAAGAAAAUUCUUCUGAACCAAUGCUCAACCUAAAAAAUAAGAGCUUGUCUCAAGGGCUGAAAAUGGAAGAGAGUAACAAAUGAGAAUAAAAAUGAAACAAAAACAGAACUUUAGAAUAGAAUGGAAGUGUAUUUUAACAUCUCCGUCCUUACAAUUUUUUUUUUGAGACUGAGUCUUGCUUUAUUACCCAAGCUAGAGUGCACUGGAGUGAUCUUGGCUCACUGCAACCUCUGCCUUCUAGGUUCAAGUGAUUCUCAUGCCACAGCCUCCAAGCAGCUGGGACUACAGGUGCCCUCCAUGAUGCCUGGCUAAUUUUUGUAUUUUUAGUAGAGAUGAGGUUUCACCAUGUUGGUCAGGCUCGUCUUGAACUCCUGACCUCAAGUGAUCCACCUGCCUCAGUCUCCUGAAGUGUUGGGAUUACAAACAUGAGACAUGGCAUUCAGCCUCCAUUCUUUAAAAUUUUUUAAGUUUCCUCUUUUGUUCUUUUUAUGUCUUUGACAUUUUAAUUUACAAACAUAACUCAAGAACUUUAUUUCUUUUACAGAAAAGCAUCUUUCUGAACUCUUUAUCUAAAGCAAUCAGUUUCGGUAAACUGUAUUCUCCUAGAAAAUUGUCCAUUUCACCUACUUUUUCAAAUUAUUUGUACAGAGGUCUAAAAAGUAGUUUCAUUA
Long non-coding RNA from Callithrix jacchus (white-tufted-ear marmoset), 1849 nucleotides. Lineage: Eukaryota; Metazoa; Chordata; Mammalia; Primates; Cebidae. The record is from Ensembl.